AGAGUUUGAUCAUGGCUCAGAGCGAACGCUGGCGGCGUGCUUAACACAUGCAAGUCGAGUGCGCAGUUUCCCGCCGCAAGGCGGGGGAUGGGCGCACGGCGCACGGGUGCGUAACACGUGGGUAACNUGCCNUUCGAUGGGGGACAACCCCGCGAAAGCGGGGCUAAUACCGCAUGACAUUCCGUUGAUUUCGAUCGCCGGAAUCAAAGCCCGCAGGGCGUCGGAGGAGGGGCCCGCGCCCGAUUAGCUUGUUGGUGAGGUAAUGGCUCACCAAGGCUAUGAUCGGCAGCCGGUCUAAGAGGACGAUCGGCCACACUGGAACUGAGACACGGUCCAGACUCCUACGGGAGGCAGCAGUGGGGAAUCUUGCGCAAUGGGCGAAAGCCUGACGCAGCGACGCCGCGUGGGGGAUGAAGCCCUUCGGGGUGUAAACCCCUUUCGACCCGGACGAAUGGCCCGCAAGGGAAUUGACGGUACGGGUAGAAGAAGCCCCGGCUAACUACGUGCCAGCAGCCGCGGUAAAACGUAGGGGGCCAGCGUUGCUCGGAAUUACUGGGCGUAAAGGGUUCGUAGGCGGUGCGGCAAGUCGGAAGUGAAAUCUCAGGGCUUAACUCUGAGGCUGCUUCCGAAACUGCCGCGCUCGAGUGCGGGAGAGGCGAGUGGAAUUGCAGGUGUAGCGGUGAAAUGCGUAGAUAUCUGCAGGAACACCCGUGGCGAAGGCGGCUUGCUGGACCGCAACUGACGCUGAGGAACGAAAGCUAGGGGAGCAAACAGGAUUAGAUACCCUGGUAGUCCUAGCCCUAAACCAUCAGGACUUGGGGUGCAUCCCGUUUGGGGUGCGUCCCGGAGCUAACGCGUUAAGUCCUGCGCCUGGGGAGUACGGUCGCAAGGNUGAAACUCAAAGGAAUUGACGGG
RNAcentral lists this ribosomal RNA (915 nucleotides) under uncultured bacterium. RNAcentral describes it as "bacterial SSU rRNA". It matches the Rfam family "Bacterial small subunit ribosomal RNA", at positions 8 to 917 of the family's 1533-position model. The record is from RNAcentral.